UACGUAGGGUGCAAGCGUUGUCCGGAAUUACUGGGUGUAAAGGGUCCGCAGGCGGGCAGGAAAGUCAGAGGUGAAAGACUUCGGCUCAACCGAAGAAUUGCCUUUGAUACUUCUUGUCUUGAAUCCGAGAGAGGAUAGUGGAAUUCAUGGUGUAGCGGUGAAAUGCGUAGAGAUCAUGAAGAACACCAGUAGCGAAGGCGGCUAUCUGGCUCGGUAUUGACGCUCAGGGACGAAAGCGUGGGUAGCAAACAGG
Molecule: ribosomal RNA, 253 nt
Filed under: uncultured bacterium
Lineage: Bacteria
Description: partial 16S ribosomal RNA
Rfam family: Bacterial small subunit ribosomal RNA
Source: RNAcentral